AUUAAACCACUUUCAUUUUAUUGUUUUGUUUUAAAGCAACUUAAAUACAUUGAAUUGGCUAUCCAAAAUAUGCAAAUGAUAAUAUUUCACGAAGAGGCUAGAGACCUCCAGACCAUGUACAAGCAACCUGACCCUCUGUGUGAGCUGGCUGAUGAAUGUUACAAGGUCGGCUGCCUGCUGGCUUUACACAAUCCACCUCUGCUGCUCGACUGGGAGAAAAAAGAGCCGUCAGAUUACCUGCCACCAAUUACGAUGGAAGACACAUCUGCAAAGACAGCUCUGUAGAUUUAAAAUCCAGCAUUAGAGAGAUUAGAGACCUCAUGUAAAGAUUGAUUUAGAUUCUAUACAUUUUAUACUUAAUAAACCAAUAGUCACUACUUUUAAUGUGAAUGGUUAGGGGUUGGAAAGCAUAAUUUUGUCACUACUUUUAGUAAAUAUGGCAUUUUUCAAUUAAAAUUAAAAAUACAAUUAUUGGGCCAUUACAUGAAUAAAAUCAAAAAUCAUGUUCCUGCAUGACAUUCAGUCAGAUAUGAUUUUUUCUUAAGCCCAGCUCACACUGUGAUUUUAGCCACAAUAUUUUAAAAAACCUAUAAUCCUAAAAAAUCCUGAGCUAAAAUCUGUAUUCUUUGUUCGUUAGUUCCAUUGGUUCACAAUAAAAAUUUUUUACGUCUGACGAGAUUCUGGCAGUAUCAGAAGAUUCUUUGCAUGGUGACAUCUCCUAUGACGAACAUCAAACAUUUUCAUAUUUCAAGAGAUUUCUAGAGAUUUCUUCUAAAUGGCAUAUACUCCUGCACUCUCGUCUUCCACUUGUUAAAUCCAUCUGAUAUGUUGGCUUUCCUAUGUUAAUGGUACUCCUCAUAAUAUUUUUCUUAAAUAUGUUGGUUUUACCAGCAUUCAUAUACUUUUCGUGAUAACCAACAUUUAAGCCCAAUGUGCAAUCCAGCGACACUUAAUAAUGUGAACAAUAUUUUUUUGUGAGCACCCUUUUCUAAUUCAUUAUGACAGUCGUACUGUGUAACAUUAGUAACAACAGAGAUCCCACAGAUCAUCAUGUUCAUACAGUCUGACAAGUACAAGUGUAAAGGACAUAAAAAUAGCAUACUAUGAGUCUGGAUUUUUAAUUCUGUCAUCAUCUACUCACCCUCUAGUACUUCCAAGUCUGUAUGAAUUUCUUUGUUCUGCCAAACACAAAGGAACAUAUUUUAAAUAAAGUUUGUAACCAGGU
Puntigrus tetrazona (Sumatra barb) is the source of this 1225-nucleotide long non-coding RNA. RefSeq lists it as uncharacterized. The transcript is spliced from 2 exons. The record is from RefSeq and is a predicted model, not a curated record. NCBI's taxonomy places the organism in Eukaryota, Metazoa, Chordata, Actinopteri, Cypriniformes, Cyprinidae.